UUGUAUUAGAAGUAACAUUCAAAAGGACCGACUCUCCAAUGUUAGAGGGAUCAGUACUACCAUUCAAAACCAUACUAUCUGCUAUGACAUUACCAUUUUCCUUAUCACCAUCAGUGGUAAGCAAUAACUGCUGCUCGUUAUUUUUACCUUGCUUGCAAACCUCUACCAAAUUCAGGUUAGAAGUAUUAUCAGUGUCACCUACUGAAAAAGCCAUAGAAGGUCUCAC
RNAcentral lists this long non-coding RNA (226 nucleotides) under Nicotiana benthamiana. RNAcentral describes it as "long non-coding RNA (NBEN_LNC011101)". Lineage: Eukaryota; Viridiplantae; Streptophyta; Magnoliopsida; Solanales; Solanaceae. The record is from RNAcentral.